ACCUCAGUAACGGCGAGUGAAGCGGUAACAGCUCAAAUUUGAAAUCUGGGUCUUUCAGGCUCCGAGUUGUAAUUUGUAGAAGAUGCUUCGGGUGCGGCUCCGGUCUAAGUUCCUUGGAACAGGACGUCAUAGAGGGUGAGAAUCCCGUAUGUGAUCGGCCGCUUGCGCCCAUGUGAAGCUCUUUCGACGAGUCGAGUUGUUUGGGAAUGCAGCUCCAAAUGGGUGGUAUAUUUCAUCUAAAGCUAAAUAUUGGCCAGAGACCGAUAGCGCACAAGUAGAGUGAUCGAAAGAUGAAAAGCACUUUGGAAAGAGAGUUAAACAGUACGUGAAAUUGUUGAAAGGGAAGCGCUUGCAACCAGACUUGCGUGUUGUUGAUCAUCCGGGGUUCUCCCCGGUGCACUCGACCUCACUCAGGCCAGCAUCGGUUUCGGUGGUUGGAUAAAGGCCUUGGGAAUGUAGCUCCUCUCGGGGAGUGUUAUAGCCCUCGGUGCAAUGCAGCCUACCGGGACCGAGGACCGCGCUUCGGCUAGGAUGCUGGCGUAAUGGUUGUAAGCGACCCGUCUUGAAACACGGACCAAGGAGUCUAACAUCUAUGCGAGUGUUUGGGUGUCAAACCCAUACGCGUAAUGAAAGUGAACGGAGGUGAGAACCCUUAAGGGUGCAUCAUCGACCGAUCCUGAUGUCUUCGGAUGGAUUUGAGUAAGAGCAUAGCUGUUGGGACCCGAAAGAUGGUGAACUAUGCCUGAAUAGGGUGAAGCCAGAGGAAACUCUGGUGGAGGCUCGCAGCGGUUCUGACGUGCAAAUCGAUCGUCAAAUUUGGGUAUAGGGCGAAA
RNAcentral lists this ribosomal RNA (833 nucleotides) under Phlyctema vagabunda. RNAcentral describes it as "eukaryotic LSU rRNA". It matches the Rfam family "Eukaryotic large subunit ribosomal RNA", at positions 77 to 928 of the family's 3401-position model. Lineage: Eukaryota; Fungi; Ascomycota; Leotiomycetes; Helotiales; Dermateaceae. The record is from RNAcentral.